This 235-nucleotide ribosomal RNA is filed under the name uncultured bacterium. RNAcentral's name for it is "partial 16S ribosomal RNA". It matches the Rfam family "Bacterial small subunit ribosomal RNA", at positions 118 to 347 of the family's 1533-position model. The record is from RNAcentral.
UGAGUAACCUGCCCUUAACUCUGGGAUAAGCCUGGGAAACUGGGUCUAAUACCGGAUAUGACUCCUCAUCGCAUGGUGGGGGGUGGAAAGCUUUAUUGUGGUUUUGGAUGGACUCGCGGCCUAUCAGCUUGUUGGUGAGGUAAUGGCUCACCAAGGCGACGACGGGUAGCCGGCCUGAGAGGGUGACCGGCCACACGUGGGACUGAGACACGGCCCAGACUCCGUACGGGAGCAG